Strongylocentrotus purpuratus (purple sea urchin) is the source of this 350-nucleotide long non-coding RNA. RefSeq lists it as uncharacterized. Lineage: Eukaryota; Metazoa; Echinodermata; Echinoidea; Camarodonta; Strongylocentrotidae. The transcript has 3 exons. The record is from RefSeq and is a predicted model, not a curated record.
CUUUUGUAUAACCCUAACUACAGUCUUCUUUGGAGCCAUAUGACAGACGUAUACAGCUGAAAUGGAAUUUCCCUUCAACCGUACAAUAUUUCAGGGCUUAUAUUUCAGGAAUCGGUGUUCGCCCAACGUAGCAGUUGCAGAAAAAGGACAACAACAAGUGGCACUAUUCAUGUAUUCCUCCAAAGUGCUCAUGCCAAUCAUGCCAUAGCUGAACUUUCCUGAAAGACUGAGUCAAUGAAAACUCUAAGACUUCAACAUAUGUGCAGCGUUUCAACCGAGAGUCAACACCCUCCAUUGUAGUGUUCGGCAGGCUUUUCAAUUGGAGUUUGGGCUGAUUUCAAUCGUAAUAA